RNAcentral lists this ribosomal RNA (535 nucleotides) under Phyzelaphryne miriamae (Miriam's frog). Its description in RNAcentral is "partial 16S ribosomal RNA". It matches the Rfam family "Bacterial large subunit ribosomal RNA", at positions 1813 to 2596 of the family's 2925-position model. Lineage: Eukaryota; Metazoa; Chordata; Amphibia; Anura; Eleutherodactylidae. The record is from RNAcentral.
ACAUCGCCUCCUGCCCAAAUAUAGGAGGUCCUGUCUGCCCAGUGACCCUGUUCAACGGCCGCGGUAUCCUAACCGCGCGAAGGUAGCGUAAUCACUUGUUUUUUAAAUAAAGACCUGUAUGAAAGACCACACGAGAAUCGUACUGUCUCCCCCCUCUAAUCAGCGAAACUAAUCUCCUCGUGAAAAAGCGAGAAUUCUUAUACAAGACGAGAAGACCCUGUGGAACUUUAAACAAACACAUCAAGUUUGUCACCCCUUACUAUGAUUGUUAGUUUUUGGCUGGGGCGACCUUGGAGCACAAAAAAACCUCCGAGAUGAUAUGGAACUUUCCUAAACACAAGGCUACAACCUUAUGUAUCAACAAAUUGACUUUAUUGACCCUUAUUGAUCAACGAACCAAGCUACCCCAGGGAUAACAGCGCAAUCUGCCCCGAGAGUCCACAUUAACGGGCAGGCUUACGACCUCGAUGUUGGAUCAAGGUGUCCAAGUGGUGCAGCCGCUACUUAAGGUUCGUUUGUUCAACGAUUAAAACCU